CAACGCCGCGUGAGGGACGACGGCCUUCGGGUUGUAAACCUCUUUUAGCAGGAAAGAAGCGAAAGUGACGGUACCUGCAGAAAAAGCGCCGGCUAACUACGUGCCAGCAGCCGCGGUAAUACGUAGGGCGCAAGCGUUAUCCGGAAUUAUUGGGCGUAAAGAGCUCGUAGGCGGUCUGUCGCGUCUGCUGUGAAAACCCGAGGCUCAACCUCGGGCCUGCAGUGGGUACGGGCAGACUAGAGUGCGGUAGGGGAGAUUGGAAUUCCUGGUGUAGCGGUGGAAUGCGCAGAUAUCAGGAGGAACACCGAUGGCGAAGGCAGAUCUCUGGGCCGUAACUGACGCUGAGGAGCGAAAGGGUGGGGAGCAAACAGGCUUAGAUACCCUGGUAGUCCACCCCGUAAACGUUGGGAACUAGUUGUGGGGUCCAUUCCACGGAUUCCGUGACGCAGCUAACGCAUUAAGUUCCCCGCCUGGGGAGUACGGCCGCAAGGCUAAAACUCAAAGGAAUUGACGGGGACCCGCACAAGCGGCGGAGCAUGCGGAUUAAUUCGAUGCAACGCGAAGAACCUUACCAAGGCUUGACAUAUACGAGAACGGGCCAGAAAUGGUCAACUCUUUGGACACUCGUAAACAGGUGGUGCAUGGUUGUCGUCAGCUCGUGUCGUGAGAUGUUGGGUUAAGUCCCGCAAC
Molecule: ribosomal RNA, 690 nt
Filed under: Microbacterium sp. R25
Lineage: Bacteria; Bacillati; Actinomycetota; Actinomycetes; Micrococcales; Microbacteriaceae
Description: bacterial SSU rRNA
Rfam family: Bacterial small subunit ribosomal RNA
Source: RNAcentral